RNAcentral lists this ribosomal RNA (491 nucleotides) under uncultured bacterium. Its description in RNAcentral is "partial 16S ribosomal RNA". It matches the Rfam family "Bacterial small subunit ribosomal RNA", at positions 28 to 507 of the family's 1533-position model. The record is from RNAcentral.
GAUGAACGCUAGCGAUAGGCUUAACACAUGCAAGUCGAGGGGUAACGUGUUGGAAGCUUGCUUCCGAUGACGACGACCGGCGGAUGGGUGCGUAACGCGUAUGCAACUUGCCUCACAGUGGAGAAUAACCCGGAGAAAUCCGGACUAAUACUCCAUACACUCUUAAGUACGCCUGUACAUGAGAGGAAAGAUUUAUCGCUGUGAGAUAGGCAUGCGUCCUAUUAGGUAGUUGGUGAGGUAACGGCUCACCAAGCCGACGAUAGGUAGGGGUGCUGAGAGGCAGAUCCCCCACAUUGGGACUGAGACACGGCCCAAACUCCUACGGGAGGCAGCAGUGAGGAAUAGUGGUCAAUGGAGGAAACUCUGAACCAGCCAAGUCGCGUGAAGGAAGAAUGUCCUAAGGAUUGUAAACUUCUUUAGCGAGCGAGUAAGGACUUCCACGUGAUGGGAGUUUGAAAGUAGCUCGAGAAUAAGUAUCGGCUAACUCCGUG